RNAcentral lists this unclassified non-coding RNA (336 nucleotides) under soil metagenome. RNAcentral's name for it is "partial contains 5.8S ribosomal RNA, internal transcribed spacer 2, and large subunit ribosomal RNA". The stretch from base 1 to 120 matches the Rfam family "5.8S ribosomal RNA", at positions 35 to 154 of the family's 154-position model. The record is from RNAcentral.
GAUGAAGAACGCAGCGAAAUGCGAUAAGUAAUGUGAAUUGCAGAAUUCAGUGAAUCAUCGAAUCUUUGAACGCACAUUGCGCCCGCCAGUAUUCUGGCGGGCAUGCCUGUUCGAGCGUCAUUUCAACCAUCAAGCCCCCGGCUUGUGUUGGGGACCUGCGGCUGCCGCAGGCCCUGAAAAGCAGUGGCGGGCUCGCUGUCACACCGAGCGUAGUAGCAUACAUCUCGCUCUGGGCGUGCUGCGGGUUCCGGCCGUUAAACCACCUUCAUAACCCAAGGUUGACCUCGGAUCAGGUAGGAAGACCCGCUGAACUUAAGCAUAUCAAUAAGCGGAGGG